CUUCGAGUCGUUGAUUUCACACUGCCGAGAAAAGCCUCUAGAUAGAAAAUAGGUGCCCGUACCGCAAACCGACACAGGUAGUCAAGAUGAGAAUUCUAAGGUGAGCGAGCGAACUCUCGUUAAGGAACUCGGCAAAAUGACCCCGUAACUUCGGGAGAAGGGGUGCUCUUUAGGGUUAACGCCCAGAAGAGCCGCAGUGAAUAGGCCCAAGCGACUGUUUAUCAAAAACACAGGUCUCUGCUAAACCGUAAGGUGAUGUAUAGGGGCUGACGCCUGCCCGGUGCUGGAAGGUUAAGAGGAGUGGUUAGCUUCUGCGAAGCUACGAAUCGAAGCCCCAGUAAACGGCGGCCGUAACUAUAACGGUCCUAAGGUAGCGAAAUUCCUUGUCGGGUAAGUUCCGACCCGCACGAAAGGCGUAACGAUUUGGGCACUGUCUCAACGAGAGACUCGGUGAAAUCAUAGUACCUGUGAAGAUGCAGGUUACCCGCGACAGGACGGAAAGACCCCGUGGAGCUUUACUGUAGCCUGAUAUUGAAAUUCGGCACAGCUUGUACAGGAUAGGUAGGAGCCUUUGAAACGUGAGCGCUAGCUUACGUGGAGGCGCUGGUGGGAUACUACCCUAGCUGUGUUGGCUUUCUAACCCGCACCACUUAUCGUGGUGGGAGACAGUGUCAGGCGGGCAGUUUGACUGGGGCGGUCGCCUCCUAAAAGGUAACGGAGGCGCUCAAAGGUUCCCUCAGAAUGGUUGGAAAUCAUUCAUAGAGUGUAAAGGCAUAAGGGAGCUUGACUGCGAGACCUACAAGUCGAGCAGGGUCGAAAGACGGACUUAGUGAUCCGGUGGUUCCGCAUGGAAGGGCCAUCGCUCAACGGAUAAAAGCUACCCCGGGGAUAACAGGCUUAUCUCCCCCAAGAGUUCACAUCGACGGGGAGGUUUGGCACCUCGAUGUCGGCUCAUCGCAUCCUGGGGCUGUAGUCGGUCCCAAGGGUUGGGCUGUUCGCCCAUUAAAGCGGUACGCGAGCUGGGUUCAGAACGUCGUGAGACAGUUCGGUCCCUAUCCGUCGUGGGCGUAGGAAAUUUGAGAGGAGCUGUCCUUAGUACGAGAGGACCGGGAUGGACAUACCUCUGGUGUACCAGUUGUCGUGCCAACGGCAUAGCUGGGUAGCUAUGUGUGGACGGGAUAAGUGCUGAAAGCAUCUAAGCAUGAAGCCCCCCUCAAGAUGAGAUUUCCCAACUUCGGUUAUAAGAUCCCUCAAAGAUGAUGAGGUUAAUAGGUUCGAGGUGGAAGUAUGGUGACAUGUGGAGCUGACGAAUACUAAUCGAUCGAAGACUUAAUCAAAUU
RNAcentral lists this ribosomal RNA (1340 nucleotides) under Staphylococcus aureus. Its description in RNAcentral is "partial 23S ribosomal RNA". It matches the Rfam family "Bacterial large subunit ribosomal RNA", at positions 1584 to 2925 of the family's 2925-position model. The record is from RNAcentral. Lineage: Bacteria; Bacillati; Bacillota; Bacilli; Caryophanales; Staphylococcaceae.